RNAcentral lists this long non-coding RNA (5018 nucleotides) under Homo sapiens (human). RNAcentral describes it as "HSALNT0146185". The record is from RNAcentral. Lineage: Eukaryota; Metazoa; Chordata; Mammalia; Primates; Hominidae.
AGAAUUGCUUGAGCCUGGGAAGCGGAGGUUGUAGUGAGCCAAGACCGUGCCACUGCACUCCAGCCUGGCCAACAGAGCAAGACUACGUCUCAAAAAAAAAAAAAAAAGAAAAAAAGAUAAACUGCUUUGUGACAGACACCUUCAAGGGAAUAAAGACAGAAGCCACAGACUAAGAGAAAAUAUUUGCAAAACAUUUAUCUGUUAAAGGACUGUUUAUUUGUAGUAUAUUUAAAUAUCCAAAAUAUAUAAGGAACUCUUAAAACUCAACAAUGAGAAAACAACCAUCCCUAUUAAAAAAUAGGCUAAAGACCUUAGCAGACAUUUCACCAGAUAUACAGAUGUCACAUAAGCAUAUGAGAAGAUCUGCAACAUCAUACAUCAUCAGAGAAAGGCAAAUUAAAAUAAUAGUGAGAUACCAUUACACACCUAUCAUGACUACCUAAAUUCAGAACACUGACAACAUCAAAUGCUGACAAGAAUGUGGAGCAACAGGAACUCUCAUUCAGUGCUGGUGGGUAUGCAAAAUGGUACAGCUACUUUGGAAGACAGUAUGGUGGUUUCCUGCCAAACUAAAUAUAUCCUUACCAUAUGUCCCAGUGACUGUGCUCCUUGGUAUCACCCAAAGGAGUUGAAAACUUAGGUCCACACACAAAAAAAACCUGUACAUAGAUGUUUAUAGCAACUUUAUUCACAGUUGGCAGAACUUGGAAGUAACCAAGAUGCCCAUCAGUGGGUGAAUGGAUAAACAGUCGUAUAUCCAGACAAUGGAAUAUUAUUCAGUGCUAAAAAGAAAUGAGCUAUCAAGCCAUGACAAGAUAUGUAGAAAACUUAAAUGCAUAUUACUAAGUGAAAGAAGCCAGUCUGAGAAGGCUACAUACUGUAUAAUUCCAACUAUAUGAUAUUUUGGAAAAGGCAAAACUAUAGAGAGUAAAAAGAUCAGUGGUUGCCAAGAGCUAGGGGAAAGGGAGGGAUGAAUAGGCAGGGCACAGAGGAUUUUUAGGGCAGUGAAACUAUUCUAUAUUACACUAUAAUACUAGAUACAUGUCACUAUAAAUUUGCCCAAACUCAUAGAAUGUACAAUAAGAGUGAACCCUAAGGUAAACUAUGGACUCUGGGUAAUCAUGAUGUGUCAAUGCAGGUUCAUCCACUGUAACGAGUGUACUACUCUGUGGGGAUGUUGAUAAUGGCGAAUGCUAUGUAUAUAUGCGUGCAGGGAGUAUAUGGGAAAUCUCUGUACCUGUUGCUCAAUUUUGCUGUGAACCUAAAACUGUUCUAAAAACUAAGUCUAUUUUUUUUUUAAAAAAGGAUAACAAACUUGCCCAAGCCCUUAUUUAAAAGAGUCAUAAAGGUAAAAUAACAAUGGUAUUGGCUGAAGAUACAGAAAAGACACUGGAACAGAUGAGCGACCCCAGGUCAACACUGCUCUAAAGACAAUGUAGUACUAGAAUUAGAGAUGUUUAAGCCCAAGCAGCAAGUACAAGCUAAUCUUCCUAAAUUUUAUGGCGUUCCAGAAAACUGACUGGGGAACUGAGUCUUGAUUAACUCAUCCCAAGGUAAAAUUCAUUCAUAGGAUCAUCUGACUUCUAUCCAUGAGUUCAACACGGAAAAUAUUGCAAAGCUCUGAUGCUCCACUCAGGUGCAGAAUAAACGCUCCCAAUUCAAUGUGAGCAGCUCUUUCCUCUGGGGAUACAUGAGAGUGAGACGUGGGACUUGAUACUCUGCCAUAAUGGAAGCAAAGAGAAGAGAAAUAGGGAUGGAAGAGGAGGGAAGAAAGGGAGACAGGGGAGGGUACAGAUUAAGAUAAAAAGAGAACAGAAGGGAUGGUGAAAGUAUGAAUGGAAACAUGGAGAUUAGGAAGAAACAGAGGUAGGGAAGAAUAUCUCUAUGGUAGAAUAAAACCAGGCCUUUUUCUUACUGCUCAGAGUAAUUCUGAAGGCUAAAACUGAGAAGGCCAGUAACAAAAAUGAAGUGACAAUGGCCCAGAGAGAGAACUCAAGAGGGUUACUCUACUCAGCAAAGAAAGGCAGCCCUUAGAAUGCCCCUGAGCGAAUGGAUGGAGCCACAUUACGUAACUCACUCACUUCUCUGCCUUUCAUCUUUGUCAAUGGCCAUAAACCCGCAAUUUCACUAAACGCAAUUCCCAUUUCAGAGAGUCUUUAAAGCAAGCGGCACUGCCUCACAAACCCAUGAAAAUAGGUCCUUUUCACUCUCUUAUCUUGAAUCUCAAAAAAACAUACUCUUGCUAUGAACAGAUAUGGACUUCUUUGAGUUUUUAAGAGCCAAUUAUAGCACAUCGCAACUAGUGUACCCUGUAAUACUGUCUCCAAAGAGGGCUCUCCAGCAGAUGCAGGGGGUCCCCAUGAUACAAAGGGCUGUGUUCUAAAAGUUCCUGUGUAAGGUGGUUGUCUAGUGCUUAGAACAUAUUUUCAUGGAGAGGAAAAUAAAACAGCAAUGAAUGGCUAGAAAGAGACCCGGUCUAGUCCAAACAGUCUCCUUAACCAUGUGUCUGAACUAUGUGACUGAAGAGUGCUCUCGGAUCUGGGAGCCAUAGUGCAGUGCAAGGGGGAGAAAAAGGAAAAGGAGACGGAAAACUCUCCGGCUACCUCCUGGAUGGGAGGUGUCACUAGCCAUUUCUUGAGGCCCCCAACAAGAUAUAAGGUAAAAAUCCUCAUUUGAGAGAAACUGCACUGCUCACUGACACCCGCUAUUUUUGCAAAUUCACUCAGUGGCUCACAGAAACACUUGACAGAGUGCUGAGUGGCAUGGAUUUGGGAAGGAUGCAGGGCAGCAAACAAGCAAGCUGGAGAGGGCAGCGGGAUGGGGGCCCAAGAGGCUAAAUCGGAGGUUCUCAAAUGUUCUCAGUCCAUGUCACUCUGGCGUCUCAGGUAUUUUUUUCAUUAUACUUCUAGGCAGAGAGGAAUACCUAACAGUUCCAUGAGUUAAAUAGGUAGAUCCAAACAACUCAAUAAAUAUUUACGUCCUAACAACUUAGUAACUAUUUGAAAAGAAAAAGAUAUAAAUUGAUGAGAAGGUGGUAUUUUUAUUUCAUUCUUAUAUAGCCAAAAUUUUCAAUGAGACCUAUGUGCUGCUGGGCACUAUGCAGCUUUUCUAACUUUGGAAUUAGAUGGGAUUCUGCCACCCCAUUUCCUGCUUCACAUUGAUUUUUAUACCACACUGGCUAUUUAUCACAGCAUCCCCUGAAAGCCCAGCUUUUCACAGAUAUGACUUCACCGAAAGGAAUGUAGUGAUCUAGUGUUAAAACUAUGAACUACCUUAAGCCCGUAGUUCACAUGGUAGCUGACAGAUGUUGAUUGUUUCAGUGUUUGCCUCAAAAAAAAAAAAAAAAAAAAAAAUCCCACAGCCUCUCCAUGAAUUCACUGUGGCACCCCAGGGUGCCUUCAGAGAAUAGUUUGGAAAAAGGCAAGGCUAGAAUGUUUCCAGUGCAACCAAUCAGGAGUAUCCUUUCUGGUUUACAUUUCACAGUAAGAAAAAUGUAACCCACACUGAAAUGGCCAUGGGCUUGACCUCUGAAGUAACCUCUGCCCUGCCCUUUUAAAAGUGUUCCACAUUCAAUUCACAGCAUCCUUUGGGUAAGUGAUAAACUUCUCAGUGGCUCACAGACAUAUUCUGCAGACUCUGGGACAGAGAGGACAGGUGAUUCUGUGUUGAUGGGUGAGAUCACGUUUUUAAAAACGACUUCACUCUACAGUAUAAUGUAGACAAUUAUUAAGAACUAUUAUGGUUUAGAUGUUUUUCAUUAAUUGACAUGUGAGAUAAAUGUUGAACCAAAUACAGACUAACAGAGAAAGAAGAUGCCAGGUGUAUGUUUUAUUGAUAAUCAUAUAAUUUUGCCCCUGGCAAGACUAAAAGAAAAAUAAAGUCUAAGACAAGCAAAGAUUGCAUUGAGGCCAAAAAAAAAGGAGGAAAUUCAGGUUUGUCAAUUCAUUCAUUCAUUCAUUCAUCCAUUCAUUCUACAGAUGUUUUAAAGUUUCUGUCAUUUUCCAAAUACUGUAUGUCACCAGAGACACAGAAGUGAAAAAGCCAGCCACAACAUGGCCUUUGAACUCCUGUCAAGGAAAAUGAGCCACCUGGCUCAAGAAGAAAAAAAAAAAUCUUUGCUUCAAGCUUCCAGUAUCUGACUAUGCAGGAUGGAUGAAGUGCCUCCAAUGGACCCCUCUCAGUCUGACAUAGCUCUAAGAAAAUUUUCUGAGACCCUAUCGCUGAAUUCAAACCCAGCUCCAGACAAAAGAACCAUCACCACAAGUUCAGAGAUGCAAUAGUGACUUUGUUUCUUUCUUCUCCUAUAAUUAGGAACAAACCAUCUGUGCACCCUAUUAAGGUACCACUGGUUCUUACUGCCCACCCUCUUCAGCAUACACAAAUAUAGGCCUACAUUUUACACAUGCAUGCGCGUGUACACACACACACACACACACACACACACACACACACUUUCCUUAGCAACCUCAUGCUUCUGGACUGUGUACAGAAUGAAUGACAGCCACUAUGAUAAUGAUACAUAGUUAUUUUACUCCAAAAUAUGAUAAAUAGUAAAAGCUAUCCUGAUGCAAUUCAAAGAUUAGAAGUUACUUGGAAAACAAACUAUGCAUCUGCAUUCAACUUCACUACUGAACAGGAGCCAAAACUAUUCUUUUCUUCUAAAUUUACCUGCUGAUAAGUGCUACAUGCUGUGAUAUAACCCGUUUAUGGAAAUACUUCAUAGACUCAAUUCUUUCCUAAAAAUCAAGACUUGGAAAAUGUUGGUUUGAGAAAAGAAUCAGGAAGCAAAAUGGAGAAUGCAUGAGCGUAAAGGAAGCCACAUUGGAAGUGCAAGAAAAUAUAAAUGAUUAAAAAGCAGAAGUGAAAAAAAAAUAACCACGGAUUUUGCCCCAACCUUCUUUAGAAAAGGCUUACAAGCAAUGACAUCCCACAGUCAACAAGAACACCCUUUCAGCCAGUUUUCCAGAUAUUCCCCACUAAGAGGGACUUGAGCUUCUUGGGAAAAUGCAUGAUUCCAG